UCGGUAGUAAUCUUUUAGCUUCUCUCUUUUCUUGAUAUGUUCAUGUUUAUUUAUAUAAUAUUAUAACAAUUUUGCUUUUGAAAACUCAUUUGUUUUUUUUUUAAAUAAAUUUUAGGUAGGGGUGGUGGUGGCGGCUUUGAGCGAAAAAUACCACCUCCAGGCUAUGGCAUUUUAUCCACAAAUGGUAAUCCUAAUUUUGAUAUAAAGAGAGUGAAACCUCCAACAGGGCUGCUUUUGAGAAGGAGAUUGAAGGGAUGCCUUCUACAAGAAUUGUUGGUCAUCUUCCUCUACAACUUCAUUGCCCUUUGUGCAAAGAUGUGAUGAAAGAUGUUGUUCUCACCAGCAAGUGCUGUUUCACCAGUUCCUGUGAUAAAUAUAAUUUUCUUAAUUUUUUGUUGAUGUGGCAAAACGUAAGCUUCUAAAUUGGAUUUCUAUUAUAAAUACUUGAUCCUGUUUUUCUUGAUUAUACUAUCAAGUAUAAGAGAUCAAAUUAUCUCCAAAGCAGUGUGUGUUUGUGGUGCAACGAAUGUGCUUGCAGAUGAUCUCUUGCCUAACAAGGCAUUAAAGGAUACAAUAAACCUAUUCAGCACGCCAAAAUGAAGAUCAAAAAAUGGAAGCCUUGAAAGAAUAAUUUCCAAAUUUAAUCAAACUAUUGGGAGAUGGAUUUAAGAGCCUUUGACAGAUGGUGGAAAUAAAAAAAAAUUUAGGUCCACGAACAGAAAAGCUGUUUUGAUCAUUAAAACACCACUUCCAAGCUAUGUGUGUCACAGAUGCAAAAGCAAACCCCAGUGUUAUACAACAGAAAAAGAGUAGCAUUAUAGUUAUUGGGCUUAGUUUAUUAUGGUAGCUCUUUCUAACUAUUUUCUGAAAACCAAUGAGAUGAAGGAACUUUUUUUUGAUUGUAAAUGCUAGGUCAUCAUGUUAAUGUACUUUUGAUUCCCAUUUCAUUAUAAUGUAGAAGCUUAUGGUACUGAAAACUCAAACAAAACAAAAGCAAAGAUGAUCCUAGCAAUAAAUAUAGCCUGAUUUCACUCUAUAUUGAAGUCAAAUUGUGAGAAUAAAGCCAUCAAGACUUUUGGUAUUUUGAUUAUUUGUAUGUCCAGUGUGGGGUAAAGUUGUAAGAAAAUUUGUUUCAAUAAAAUAUUUGUCUUAAUAUCCCUUUGUAAAGACUUGAUGGCUUCCAACCCUCACAAAGCGCGGGAAUCU
Non-coding RNA from Lactuca sativa (garden lettuce), 1206 nucleotides. Lineage: Eukaryota; Viridiplantae; Streptophyta; Magnoliopsida; Asterales; Asteraceae. The record is from RefSeq and is a predicted model, not a curated record.